CUAGCACCUGGGAAGGGCAGGCGGCGUGUGCACCUGCCGGGGGUGGGCUGUCGAGCCUUACUUUCCUCGCGAUACAGCUGCGCUCCAGCCAGCGUGCUGGGUUUGGGGUUUUGCUAUGCUAAUACCUGGGAAUCGAGCAGGUUUCAGCCUUUCUGGAGCCGUAGAAACACCUAGAGCUGUCUUAGACUUGCGCUGUGGAAUUAGAGACUUGCCAGAUGCAGCGUGCAGGUACUAGCUUUUUAAGAAGAAGAAAAUAUAUUUUCUCCUACUUUAAGCAAAACUGUGCAAGGGUCCCUGGCAAAGAUUUCCUUCGGACACUCUAUUACAAGGCACAAGAGUCCUGAUCUCCUGAUAACCAGCGGAUGGGCGGAAUUUUGAAUCUCUGGCUCUUCUGUGAUCUACAAGAGGCGGGGAAUAUCGAAAUUG
Molecule: long non-coding RNA, 426 nt
Filed under: Struthio camelus australis
Lineage: Eukaryota; Metazoa; Chordata; Aves; Struthioniformes; Struthionidae
Description: lncRNA (ENSSCUG00000005579.1)
Source: RNAcentral